Molecule: ribosomal RNA, 484 nt
Filed under: uncultured bacterium
Lineage: Bacteria
Description: bacterial SSU rRNA
Rfam family: Bacterial small subunit ribosomal RNA
Source: RNAcentral
AUGAACGCUAGCGGCAGGCUUAACACAUGCAAGUCGAGGGGCAACACGGGUAGCAAUACCUGGUGGCGACCGGCGGCAAGGGUGCGUAACGCGUGAGCAACAUGCCCUAUACAGGGGGAUAAUCCAGGGAAACUUGGUCUAAUAUCCCAUAGUAUUUAGAGGUGGCAUCACCACUAAAUUAAAGCUUCGGUGGUAUAGGAUUGGCUCGCGUGACAUUAGCUGGAUGGUGGGGUAACGGCUCACCAUGGCGAUGAUGUCUAGGGGUUCUGAGAGGAAGACCCCCCACACUGGGACUGAGACACGGCCCAGACUCCUACGGGAGGCAGCAGUGAGGAAUAUUGGACAAUGGAUGGAAAUCUGAUCCAGCCAUGCCGCGUGCAGGAAGACGGCCCUAUGGGUUGUAAACUGCUUUUAUAUGGGAGCAAUAAGGUUUACGCGUAGACCGAUGAGAGUACCAUAUGAAUAAGCAUCGGCUAACUCCGUG